AAGCUCAAGCUGCUAGCACAGAUUCCACUUGUUAGGUUCAUCUCAUUUGGGGGCCCCAAAGCCCAAAGUCCAAAUAAAUUUGCUUGGUUUGCCAGCAAAAACAAUUGACCAGGCACCUCUAGAACCACCAACACCACCAGUUGAGCCAUAAUUGAGAAAAUCUAUUAGAGAACGGUGACCUUCUACUAGAUAUCCUCCACAUAAGUAUGUGAUGCUUACAGAUGUAAGGGAGCCAAAAUGUUUUGAAAAAGCCAUGUCUCACCAGCAUAAUAGUGAGUGGGUUAAAACCAU
Molecule: long non-coding RNA, 291 nt
Filed under: Citrus sinensis (sweet orange)
Lineage: Eukaryota; Viridiplantae; Streptophyta; Magnoliopsida; Sapindales; Rutaceae
Description: long non-coding RNA (CSIN_LNC005785)
Source: RNAcentral